Molecule: ribosomal RNA, 357 nt
Filed under: Klebsiella aerogenes
Lineage: Bacteria; Pseudomonadati; Pseudomonadota; Gammaproteobacteria; Enterobacterales; Enterobacteriaceae
Description: bacterial SSU rRNA
Rfam family: Bacterial small subunit ribosomal RNA
Source: RNAcentral
UGACGAGCGGCGGACGGGUGAGUAAUGUCUGGGAAACUGCCUGAUGGAGGGGGAUAACUACUGGAAACGGUAGCUAAUACCGCAUAACGUCGCAAGACCAAAGUGGGGGACCUUCGGGCCUCAUGCCAUCAGAUGUGCCCAGAUGGGAUUAGCUAGUAGGUGGGGUAAUGGCUCACCUAGGCGACGAUCCCUAGCUGGUCUGAGAGGAUGACCAGCCACACUGGAACUGAGACACGGUCCAGACUCCUACGGGAGGCAGCAGUGGGGAAUAUUGCACAAUGGGCGCAAGCCUGAUGCAGCCAUGCCGCGUGUAUGAAGAAGGCCUUCGGGUUGUAAAGUACUUUCAGCGAGGAGGAA